RNAcentral lists this long non-coding RNA (555 nucleotides) under Ovis aries (sheep). RNAcentral's name for it is "lncRNA (ENSOARG00000025757.1)". The record is from RNAcentral. Lineage: Eukaryota; Metazoa; Chordata; Mammalia; Artiodactyla; Bovidae.
CAUGGAAUUCUCCAGGCAAGAAUACUGGAGUGAGUAGCCAUUCCCUUCUCCAGGGGAUCUUCCCGAUGAAGGGAUUGACCUGGGGCUCCUGUAUUGCAGUUCGAUUCUUUACCGUCUGAGCUACCGGGGGCGGGGGGAGGAAGUUAACUCCUUCUCUCACAGAGUCCAGCCUUUGGCGCCAGGGUUUGGUUUCACAGGUUCCGGAAAACGCACAGGGCUCAAGAGACAUAACCCGUGGCGACUGCGGGGUAAAGGCGUGCUGGGAGGGAGUCCUUCCGCGAGCGAGGUUAAACAUCCUCACUUCCGGCGUCUCCGUGGCGACGCGAAACGAACUGCGGCUGCGCGAGGGUGACGGAGCGAGGGCGAAAGGGAGGGGGUGUUUUGGUUCCAGCCGCUCGCCGUCCUUUCACGACUUGGUCGUCUACAAGCUUCGGGUUCCUGUCUCCCCUUCCCUUUCCCUUCCCUUUCCCUGCCCCGGUCCUCCCUCCCUCCUUCCCUUCUGCCUGCCUUUUUUUUUCUAUUGCCGCCCGGAGUCCGGGCCAUUUUCCGGGCCGG